Triticum aestivum (bread wheat) is the source of this 125-nucleotide non-coding RNA. The record is from Rfam. Lineage: Eukaryota; Viridiplantae; Streptophyta; Magnoliopsida; Poales; Poaceae.
GAAAUACUCCCUCCGUCCGGAAAUACUUGUCGGAGAAAUGAAUAAAAAUUGAUAUAUCUAGAACUAAAAUAUGUCUAGAUACAUCCAUUUCACCGACAAGUAUUUUCGGAUGGAGGGAGUACUAC